GUCAUGACAACGUUCAUUAUAACGUCAUUCCUGACGAUAUAAGAGAGUGUGAGGCAACAUCGUACACCUCACUCCAGAUGACAGCAAAUCAUAUGUACACUGCAUUGACCGUUAGGCAAGAGAAUAAUGAGUACGCAGCUGUCGAAGUUCCGGACAGCGACGGUCAAGGGCAGACACAUACCGAUUCCGAAGCCGAAGUUUAUUAUUCUGUUGUUCAUUAAGAGGUUGGAACGAACUACGCUUGAAAUAUCCAACUUUCCAGGACUGAAUCCAUUGCAGCUCACUCCCUACGACAGCGAACCAUCCUUUUAAAAUUAAAAAAGAGGAACCGGAAAUUGAUCACAUAACGGAAAUACGUCACUAAGGUAUUGCCUAAAUGAUACCGCACGUUAAUAGUCAUGAUAUGUAGGCUACCUACUCUGACGUCAAACAUAUACAUUGUAACAAAAGUGAACAUGAACAUAGUGUACUCG
Molecule: long non-coding RNA, 473 nt
Organism: Dreissena polymorpha
Lineage: Eukaryota; Metazoa; Mollusca; Bivalvia; Myida; Dreissenidae
Exons: 3
Source: RefSeq, a predicted model, not a curated record